Molecule: ribosomal RNA, 862 nt
Filed under: uncultured bacterium
Lineage: Bacteria
Description: bacterial SSU rRNA
Rfam family: Bacterial small subunit ribosomal RNA
Source: RNAcentral
AGAGUUUGAUCAUGGCUCAGGACGAACGCUGGCGGCGUGCCUAAUACAUGCAAGUUGAGCGAUGAAGAUUGGUGCUUGCACCAAUUUGAAGAGCAGCGAACGGGUGAGUAACGCGUGGGGAAUCUGCCUUUGAGCGGGGGACAACAUUUGGAAACGAAUGCUAAUACCGCAUAACAACUUUAAACAUAAGUUUUAAGUUUGAAAGAUGCAAUUGCAUCACUCAAAGAUGAUCCCGCGUUGUAUUAGCUAGUUGGUGAGGUAAAGGCUCACCAAGGCGAUGAUACAUAGCCGACCUGAGAGGGUGAUCGGCCACAUUGGGACUGAGACACGGCCCAAACUCCUACGGGAGGCAGCAGUAGGGAAUCUUCGGCAAUGGACGAAAGUCUGACCGAGCAACGCCGCGUGAGUGAAGAAGGUUUUCGGAUCGUAAAACUCUGUUGGUAGAGAAGAACGUUGGUGAGAGUGGAAAGCUCAUCAAGUGACGGUAACUACCCAGAAAGGGACGGCUAACUACGUGCCAGCAGCCGCGGUAAUACGUAGGUCCCGAGCGUUGUCCGGAUUUAUUGGGCGUAAAGCGAGCGCAGGUGGUUUAUUAAGUCUGGUGUAAAAGGCAGUGGCUCAACCAUUGUAUGCAUUGGAAACUGGUAGACUUGAGUGCAGGAGAGGAGAGUGGAAUUCCAUGUGUAGCGGUGAAAUGCGUAGAUAUAUGGAGGAACACCGGUGGCGAAAGCGGCUCUCUGGCCUGUAACUGACACUGAGGCUCGAAAGCGUGGGGAGCAAACAGGAUUAGAUACCCUGGUAGUCCACGCCGUAAACGAUGAGUGCUAGAUGUAGGGAACUAUAAGUUCUCUGUAUCGCAGCU